Molecule: ribosomal RNA, 420 nt
Filed under: bacterium
Lineage: Bacteria
Description: partial 16S ribosomal RNA
Rfam family: Bacterial small subunit ribosomal RNA
Source: RNAcentral
UGGGGGAUAUUGCACAAUGGGCGAAAGCCUGAUGCAGCGACGCCGCGUGGGGGAUGAAGGCUUUCGGGUUGUAAACCUCUUUCCCUAUCGAACAAGGCCCGCUUAGGGUGGGUUGAGGGUAGGUGGAGAAGAAGCGCCGGCUAACUACGUGCCAGCAGCCGCGGUAAUACGUAGGGCGCGAGCGUUGCCCGGAAUUAUUGGGCGUAAAGGGCGUGUGGGCGGCUUGUUGCGCCUGCCGUGAAAACGCGGGGCUUAACUUCGCGCGUGCAGUGGGUACGGGCAGGCUUGAGUGUGGUAGGGGUGACUGGAAUUCCAGGUGUAGCGGUGGAAUGCGCAGAUAUCUGGAGGAACACCGAUGGCGAAGGCAGGUCACUGGGCCAUUACUGACGCUGAGGAGCGAAAGCAUGGGUAGCGAACAGG